Long non-coding RNA from Gasterosteus aculeatus (three-spined stickleback), 642 nucleotides. NCBI's taxonomy places the organism in Eukaryota, Metazoa, Chordata, Actinopteri, Perciformes, Gasterosteidae. The record is from Ensembl.
AUGACCCCACCGGCCGCAGGCAGGGAGGCGGAGAGUCGCUACGCCAGGGAGCCAAUAUCCUACUCCACCCUGGACUCCACUGGCCACUGUUUUGGGGUCCUCGAGCAGCAGGGCAGAAGAGCCGACACCGCUGAGAGCGCUCGGCCUGCUGCAGAGUUCCCCGUGUCCAGCCUCGGCAUCGCGGUGCCUCCACCAUCAGUCCCCACCCUGCGGACCGCCUCCAACCCCAUCAACGGCAGCCCGCCGCCGCCGCCGCCUCCUCCGCCUCCGGCCGAUUUGGACCCGAGUAUGCCCGCUCCCCCUCCACCACCACCUCCCCCCUCCGACGCGGACAACGGCCUCCCACCGCCUCCGCCCUUCUUGACGUCACCCACGGCUCUCCCGCCACCUCCCCCUCCCCCACCAAUGUGUCUGUCAAAUGGCUCCUACCCGCCUCCACCUCCACCACCACCGCCGCCCCUUCACACGGGCACCUCUGGUGCGGUGCCACCGCCCCCUCCGCCACCACCUCCCCCAGUAUCAGGAGCUGCACUCCCGCCACCACCCCCGCCUCCUCUUCCACCGCCCCUUCACACGGGCACCUCCGGUACGGUGCCACCACCCCCUCCGCCUCCCCCUCCGCCUCCCCCCCUGAGACGCUAA